GAUGAACGCUGGCGGCGUGCCUAAUACAUGCAAGUCGAGCGAACAGACGAGGAGCUUGCUCCUGACGUUAGCGGCGGACGGGUGAGUAACACGUGGAUAACCUACCUAUAAGACUGGGAUAACUUCGGGAAACCGGAGCUAAUACCGGAUAAUAUAUUGAACCGCAUGGUUCAAUAGUGAAAGACGGUUUUGCUGUCACUUAUAGAUGGAUCCGCGCCGCAUUAGCUAGUUGGUAAGGUAACGGCUUACCAAGGCGACGAUGCGUAGCCGACCUGAGAGGGUGAUCGGCCACACUGGAACUGAGACACGGUCCAGACUCCUACGGGAGGCAGCAGUAGGGAAUCUUCCGCAAUGGGCGAAAGCCUGACGGAGCAACGCCGCGUGAGUGAUGAAGGUCUUCGGAUCGUAAAACUCUGUUAUUAGGGAAGAACAAAUGUGUAAGUAACUAUGCACGUCUUGACGGUACCUAAUCAGAAAGCCACGGCUAACUACGUG
This 495-nucleotide ribosomal RNA is filed under the name uncultured bacterium. RNAcentral's name for it is "partial 16S ribosomal RNA". It matches the Rfam family "Bacterial small subunit ribosomal RNA", at positions 28 to 507 of the family's 1533-position model. The record is from RNAcentral.